This 190-nucleotide non-coding RNA is filed under the name Desulfobacteraceae bacterium 4572_89. RNAcentral describes it as "6S RNA". It matches the Rfam family "6S / SsrS RNA". From Rfam's summary of the family: E. coli 6S RNA was the first non coding RNA to be sequenced, but its function was unknown until recently. It consists of 184 nucleotides that fold into an extended hairpin structure with a large single-stranded internal bulge. The 6S RNA specifically associates with RNA polymerase holoenzyme containing the sigma70 specificity factor. The record is from RNAcentral. Lineage: Bacteria; Pseudomonadati; Thermodesulfobacteriota; Desulfobacteria; Desulfobacterales; Desulfobacteraceae.
AAGCCCCUGCAAUGUGCGUGAUUGUAUGACAGUCUUUGUCCUAACGCAUAGUAAAAAGGGAGUUCACUCUGAUACUGGUGUGCUAGGUUCCGCAUUGUAUGGAAAAGCCUGAAGGUAUUAUUGGACACCCAACUUUUUGAACCCUUGGUUCAAAGCCUUAAAAAGCAACACGGCAGUCUGUGGGGGUAAU